This 217-nucleotide ribosomal RNA is filed under the name uncultured bacterium. RNAcentral's name for it is "partial 16S ribosomal RNA". It matches the Rfam family "Bacterial small subunit ribosomal RNA", at positions 99 to 334 of the family's 1533-position model. The record is from RNAcentral.
CGGACGGGUGAGUAACGCGUGAGAAUCUGCCUUCAGGACGGAGACAACAGUUGGAAACGACUGCUAAGCCCCGAUGUACCGAAAGGGAAAAUAUUUAUAGCCUGAAGAUGAGCUCGCGUCCGAUUAGCUAGUUGGAGAGGUAAAAGCUCACCAAGGCGACGAUCGGUAGCUGGUCUGAGAGGACGAUCAGCCACACUGGGACUGAGACACGGCCCAG